UUCGCCUCAGGGGCAGGACACAGUUACCAUUUCCCGAAUCCCAGACUGCCUCACUGCCAUUCUCGUGUCGCAUUUGUCAAUAUUUUCUAUCGAGAGUCGUCUGUUGGCUGGAGGGUACAGAGCAGUAUGAAAACAAACAUGCCUAAAAUAACAAAUUAGCAUAGACCAGUGGGACUGCCAGAGAGUGAUGGAAGAGGACGCACCGAUGUUGAAUGAUGUGCGAACAAGUUGUAAUUAUUUCGCAUUAAGCCAAGGAACCAAACCGAAAGGAAUGGAGUAGAGUGGUGAUGCUGAAGCCAUGGCCAUUGGAAGACCCCAAAGAUGUCAAAGAUGGAUGCAGCUCUGGCAAACAGAAACCGAAACCGAGUUGAAUAAUGACCUUAAAGAAUGAGUUGAAUACAUUCUGUAAAGAAUUAAUGAAUGAAUGAAGUAUUCUCCAGGCAAAAGAGAGGACUUCGCAGGGCCUUCGGUUACGGCGGCUUAUCAGAAGGCCAGGCCAGGAAAACGAGAGUUUAAAUCGAUGAGCGAGUAUCUUAUUAAAGCACCCGGAGGGAUGUCAUCGAAAGAGGGCUCUUACGAUCAAAGAUCUUAUGCCCUGAAUGGCUAAAUAUACAUACGAAAUAUGGUAAAUAGGAAGAUCUUUCGCUCAAGGAUGUUCUGGACCCUGGAUCUUCUAAGCAAAUAUUGAAAGUAGUUUACAUAAUUUCACCGAAAAUGUUGACUAUUUACCUACCGCGUACUUCAUACAUUUUUGCACUGCUGCUGAAUCAGCUGUCCCGCAAAGCAGACCCUGUGUGUAUCGUGUCCAUCCCACAACUGUGAGACACGCUGCACCGUCAAUUCAUCCCUAUUUGUAUCACUUUUCGGCACUUCCGCCCAUUGUGUCUGCCACUGGCGGCACAUGCCACAAAACUCCGUUCGAGUGCACAAGACAAUGGGAAAGAAAUUUCCUACAAAAUCAAACAAUAACACGAUUUACAAUAAUACUUCGACGAUUACUCGAAGCAAAAACUCAGCAAUCGCCCAAUUGUGCUCGCGAGGAGACUUGCAAGCACCAGACACCUGCGAAGGCUUGACAAUAUUCAUCCAGCGGACUUGCCCAACAGGAGGUUCUAAGUCGGACCCCAACCACACGAGAACCAGAUUGUUUUUAGUUUUUUUUGUAUAUCUGUUUAUUUUUGAAUAAUUGUUAUGUUAAUUGUAAAAAUUUAUUUGAUAUUAGGUGAUGCACAAAAUUUGU
Long non-coding RNA from Drosophila miranda, 1240 nucleotides. RefSeq lists it as uncharacterized. NCBI's taxonomy places the organism in Eukaryota, Metazoa, Arthropoda, Insecta, Diptera, Drosophilidae. The record is from RefSeq and is a predicted model, not a curated record. The transcript has 5 exons.